RNAcentral lists this ribosomal RNA (163 nucleotides) under Adenocarpus nainii. RNAcentral's name for it is "5.8S ribosomal RNA". It matches the Rfam family "5.8S ribosomal RNA". From Rfam's summary of the family: 5.8S ribosomal RNA (5.8S rRNA) is a component of the large subunit of the eukaryotic ribosome. Lineage: Eukaryota; Viridiplantae; Streptophyta; Magnoliopsida; Fabales; Fabaceae. The record is from RNAcentral.
ACGACUCUCGGCAACGGAUAUCUCGGCUCUUGCAUCGAUGAAGAACGUAGCGAAAUGCGAUACUUGGUGUGAAUUGCAGAAUCCCGUGAACCAUCGAGUCUUUGAACGCAAGUUGCGCCCGAAGCCAUUAGGCUGAGGGCACGCCUGCCUGGGUGUUGCACAU